AUGGAUGGUGAGAAGAAAACCUACGGUGGCUGUGAAGGCCCUGAUGCCGUGUAUGUCAAAUUGAUAUUAUCUGAUGGCCAUGAAUUUAUUGUCAAAAAAGAACGUGCAUUAACAUCGGGCACGAUAAAAGCCAUGUUGAGUGGCCCAGGUCAAUUUGCUGAGAACGAAGCCGAUGAGGUCCAUUUUAGAGAGAUCCCUUCACAUGUGCUAUCAAAAGUACAUGUAUUUUAUGUACAAGGUUCGCUACGCUAACAGCUCCACCGAGAUUCCCGAAUUCCCAGUUGCGCCUGAAAUUGCACUAGAACUGCUGAUGGCUGCGAACUUCCUAGAUUGU
RNAcentral lists this long non-coding RNA (334 nucleotides) under Homo sapiens (human). Its description in RNAcentral is "non-protein coding lnc-OR7D4-2:1". The record is from RNAcentral. Lineage: Eukaryota; Metazoa; Chordata; Mammalia; Primates; Hominidae.